GUGCUCGCUUCGGCAGCACAUAUACUAAAAUUGGACCAAUACAGAGAAGAUGAGCAUGGCCCCUGCACAAGGACGACACACAAAUUCAUGACACGUUCCAUAUUUAA
Rattus norvegicus (Norway rat) is the source of this 107-nucleotide small nuclear RNA. NCBI's taxonomy places the organism in Eukaryota, Metazoa, Chordata, Mammalia, Rodentia, Muridae. The record is from Ensembl.